GAUGAAGUGGUGUAGAUGCCAUCAACCCUUUCUUCACAUCAACUUGUAAUUCCCUAAUGGGGAUUGCUGCCAAAAAACUCUUAAUGUACUGUUUGCAAGCCUCUUUACCUUUGCAAACAAGGCUCGUUUCGUCCUCAUUUUCAGGUACUUUAUCCCUGAAGGAAACGACUGAUUCUUCCAUCUUUUCUUUGGUGUUAUUAGAGACAAUCUUCCCUUCAUUAGAAGCAGCCUGCUUCUUAUCAGUUUGCUCCUUUUUAGUGCUAGCUGGUUUCUCAUCUGAUUGUUGACUCGUGUUAGGUAGCUGCAAGAUUGUAGUGUCUCUGUCAAAUUUGAGGAUGAAUGCCUGAUUGCAGCCUUCAUAAAGUCUCUCACCAAGUGUAUCGAUGAUAUAGUAUGCAUCUCGUUCA
Molecule: unclassified non-coding RNA, 407 nt
Filed under: Hevea brasiliensis (rubber tree)
Lineage: Eukaryota; Viridiplantae; Streptophyta; Magnoliopsida; Malpighiales; Euphorbiaceae
Source: RNAcentral